UUCCCAUAGGGCGCUCAGCAGCUGGUGCAGGGCGCUGCGCGUCGAGCCCCGCUCCCGCCACACCGACACCAUGGCCCCCGACACUGCGGGGACAGCGCCGCGUCACCAAUGUCACCGUGUCCCCAAUGUCACCAUGCCCCCAUGUCCCCGUGUCCCCAAUGUCCCCAGUGUCCCCGUGUCCCAGUGUCCCCAGGUCCCCAUAUCCCCAUAACCCCAUGUCCCCCCAUGUCCCCAUGUCCCCAUGUCACUGCGUCCCCAUGUCCCCAUGUGCCCAUGUCCCCGUGUCCCCAUGUCCCCAUGUCCCCUUGUCCCCCUGUCCCCAUGUCCCUGUGUCCCCAUGUCCCCAUGUCCCCAUGUGCCCAUGUCCCCGUGUCCCCAUGUCCCCAUGUCCCCAUUGUCCCCAUGUCCCCAUGUCCCCGUGUCCCCAUGUCUCUGUGUCCCCAUGUCCCCAUGUCCCCAGUGUCCCCAUGUCUCCCUGUCCCCUUGUCCCCCUGUCCCCAUGUCCCUGUGGCCCCAUGUCCCCGUGUCCCCAUGUCCCCAUGUCCCCGUGUCCCCAGUGUCACCGUGUCCCCGUGGCCCAGUGUCCCCAGGUCCCCAUAUCCCCACAACCCAGUCCCCCCAUGUCCCCAUGUCCCCAUGUCACUGCGUCCCCAUGUCCCAAUGUCCCCAUUAUCCCCAUGUCCCCUUGUCCCCCUGUCCCCAUGUCCCUGUGGCCCCAUGUCCCCAGUGUCCCCAUGUCCCCAUGUCCCCACAUCCCAAUGUCCCCAGUGUCCCUGUGUCCUCCAUGUCCCCAAUGUCCCCAGUGUCCCCAUGUCCCCGUGUCCCCAUGUCUCUGUGUCCCCAUGUCCCCAUGUCCCUGUGUCCCCAGUGUCACC
This 875-nucleotide long non-coding RNA is filed under the name Numida meleagris (helmeted guineafowl). RNAcentral describes it as "lncRNA (ENSNMEG00000001218.1)". Lineage: Eukaryota; Metazoa; Chordata; Aves; Galliformes; Numididae. The record is from RNAcentral.